GAGAGAGAAAAUAUACAUUUAUUCUGUUUUGUUAUUGUUGCCAGUCGUGUCCAUGAGUAUUCAACUAGGCUUGAAAUGAUUUACAUUUCCCUCUCUCUGUAGUCACAAAGCUAGAAGCUGAGAGAGGUGGCCCCGAGUAAAGACUCAACAUCUGUCUGUGGUCAUGAAGCUGAGAGAGGUGGCCCCUAGUAAAGACUCAACAUCUGUCUGUGGUCAUGAAGCUGAGAGAGGUGGCCCCUAGUAAAGACUCAACAUCUGUCUGUGGUCAUGAAGCUGAGAGAGGUGGCCCCAAGUAAAGAUUCAACAUAUUUUUGCAAAUGUGCAUACUGUAUAUAUUUGUGUGUACACAUACAGUUGAAGUCGGAAGUUUACAUACAUUUAGGUUGGAGUCAUUAAAACACGUUUUUCAACCACUCCACAAAUUUCUUGUUAAACUAUAGUUUUGGCAUGUCGGUAAGGACAUCUACUUUGUGCAUGACAUAAAUUUUCCAUCAAUUAUUUAUAG
Oncorhynchus tshawytscha (Chinook salmon) is the source of this 505-nucleotide long non-coding RNA. NCBI's taxonomy places the organism in Eukaryota, Metazoa, Chordata, Actinopteri, Salmoniformes, Salmonidae. The record is from Ensembl.